AAUCAACGCUGGCGGCGUGCCUAACACAUGCAAGUCGAACGCGAAAGGGGGCUUCGGCUCCUAAGUAGAGUGGCGUCCGGGUGAGUAACACGUAGGUAAUCUGCCUUCGGGUGGGGAAUAACCAGUCGAAAGAUUGGCUAAUACCGCAUAAUGCAGCGGCACCUAAUGGUGAUUAGUUGUUAAAGCGGGGGAGUCGUAAGACCUCGCGCCUGAAGAGGAGCCUGCGGCAGAUUAGCUAGUUGGUGAGGUAAUGGCUCACCAAGGCUUCGAUCUGUAGCUGGUCUGAGAGGACGGCCAGCCACACUGGCACUGACACACGGGCCAGACUCCUACGGGAGGCAGCAGUGGGGAAUUUUGGGCAAUGGGCGAAAGCCUGACCCAGCAACGCCGCGUGAGGGAGGAAAUCCUUCGGGAUGUAAACCUCACAAG
Molecule: ribosomal RNA, 429 nt
Filed under: uncultured bacterium
Lineage: Bacteria
Description: bacterial SSU rRNA
Rfam family: Bacterial small subunit ribosomal RNA
Source: RNAcentral